GUGUGCUCUGAACACCUGCUAGUCGCCAAACCUAGGGCCCUGGUGGGGCUUUUCAGAGGGCCCUUCCCCAUCAUCAAAACCAGGGCUGGUGCCAAGUGCUCUGGUUUUGGAGCCUAGGUCCCCACGGCCUAGCUCCAGCCAGUCACCACGCCAAGUCCACCCAAGGCAGUCCCUGCAAGGAGAGGGAACUGUCCCAUGUUGGACCUGAGCUUCCCAGGGUCAUCCAGAUCAAAAGGCAUUCGCCCCUCACCUGGCCAGUGGUGUCGUAACAUCAGUUAGGUGUGCCACACCCAAGUCAAAUUUCUGCAACGUCUUCCCAUAGUCUUAGAAUAAACCCCGCCCGCAGCCCGUAGAUAGCAAGCCAUCAUUUUUGACCAGGUAGGCGCAGCAGGCAGGAAGACGGAUGAGAGCAGGUGACUUGAGGCUAUAUUUGCGCAGCAUGCCCUGUUUUUACUGGGAGUGUAUGUUUCCUUGGGCGGCUGGCAUUCGUGGGAGAGGCAGAAACUCGUGGCGAUUGUUGGGGGAGGGGCCAGACACCUGCUGCCCCCACCCGCGCUCCCAUCCCCUUUCACUCCUCUCGGUGAACCUCCAUCCCCAGGGCCUUCCCUCUCCUCAGCCGGAGCUUCUCUCGGCCAUCAAGCCUCAAACCUGGCAUCCCCUUGGGCUCUUCAAGGACCCUCUAAAUUAGAUAAAUUAGAACCCCUGUUGCCAGAUGGGCCCUUCCUUCCAACCAACACCUCAUGUAUGUGAGUCAGCUUUUUCUUUUUUUCUUUUUUUCCAGCCACAUUCGAGUCAUACGGAAGUUCCCUGGCCAGGGAUGGAGUCAGAACCACAGCUGUGACCUACACCACAGCUGCAGCAACACUGGAUCCUUAACCCACUGCACCGCAGCUGGAACUCCAUGUGAGUCAGCUUUCGAUCUGUGUGAUGAUUCGUCUCUCUUCCCCAGCAAACUGGGAACUCUGGAGACAGGUCCAGAUGGCAAACCACAGACAGCUUUCUGCCUGGUUUCUCUGGUGGAACAGGAUCAGAGAAUGAAGGAAAUGCAAUUAACAGGUAAGCUCACCUUUUUCUUCUUUUAA
This 1082-nucleotide long non-coding RNA is filed under the name Sus scrofa (pig). Its description in RNAcentral is "lncRNA (ENSSSCG00030073770.1)". Lineage: Eukaryota; Metazoa; Chordata; Mammalia; Artiodactyla; Suidae. The record is from RNAcentral.